UACAGAGGUGGCAAGCGUUGUUCGGAAUUACUGGGCGUAAAGGGCGCGUAGGCGGUCUCGUAAGUCCUGUGUGAAAUCCCCCGGCUCAACUGGGGAACUGCACAGGAAACUGCGAGACUUGAGUUCGGGAGAGGGAAGCGGAAUUCCGGGUGUAGCGGUGAAAUGCGUAGAGAUGUGGAGGAACACCGAUGGCGAAGGCAGCCCCCUGGGCUAACACUGACGCUCAGGCACGAAAGCGUGGGGAGCAAACAGG
This 253-nucleotide ribosomal RNA is filed under the name uncultured bacterium. RNAcentral describes it as "partial 16S ribosomal RNA". It matches the Rfam family "Bacterial small subunit ribosomal RNA", at positions 524 to 776 of the family's 1533-position model. The record is from RNAcentral.